RNAcentral lists this transfer RNA (82 nucleotides) under Bathycoccus prasinos. It matches the Rfam family "tRNA". Rfam says of the family: Transfer RNA (tRNA) molecules are approximately 80 nucleotides in length. Their secondary structure includes four short double-helical elements and three loops (D, anti-codon, and T loops). Further hydrogen bonds mediate the characteristic L-shaped molecular structure. tRNAs have two regions of fundamental functional importance: the anti-codon, which is responsible for specific mRNA codon recognition, and the 3' end, to which the tRNAs corresponding amino acid is attached (by aminoacyl-tRNA synthetases). tRNAs cope with the degeneracy of the genetic code in two manners: having more than one tRNA (with a specific anti-codon) for a particular amino acid; and 'wobble' base-pairing, i.e. permitting non-standard base-pairing at the 3rd anti-codon position. Lineage: Eukaryota; Viridiplantae; Chlorophyta; Mamiellophyceae; Mamiellales; Bathycoccaceae. The record is from Rfam by way of RNAcentral.
GGGUCGAUGCCCGAGUGGUUAAUGGGGGCGGACUGUAAAUCCGCUGGCUUUGCCUACACUGGUUCAAAUCCAGUUCGGCCCA